CCUACGGGGGGCUGCAGUGGGGAAUAUUGCACAAUGGGGGAAACCCUGAUGCAGCGACGCCGCGUGAGUGAAGAAGUAAUUCGUUAUGUAAAGCUCUAUCAGCAGGGAAGAAAAUGACGGUACCUGAGUAAGAAGCCCCGGCUAACUACGUGCCAGCAGCCGCGGUAAUACGUAGGGGGCAAGCGUUAACCGGAUUUACUGGGUGGAAAGGGAGCGGAGACGGCAGUGCAAGUCUGGAGUGAAAGGCGGGGGCUCAACCCCCGGACUGCUCUGGAAACUGUACGGCUGGAGUGCAGGAGAGGUAAGUGGAAUUCCUAGUGUAGCGGUGAAAUGCGUAGAUAUUAGGAGGAACACCAGUGGCGAAGGCGGCUUACUGGACUGUAACUGACGUUGAGGCUCGAAAGCGUGGGGAGCAAACAGGAUUAGAUACCCUUGUAGUC
This 440-nucleotide ribosomal RNA is filed under the name uncultured bacterium. RNAcentral describes it as "partial 16S ribosomal RNA". It matches the Rfam family "Bacterial small subunit ribosomal RNA", at positions 338 to 795 of the family's 1533-position model. The record is from RNAcentral.